Molecule: ribosomal RNA, 497 nt
Filed under: uncultured bacterium
Lineage: Bacteria
Description: partial 16S ribosomal RNA
Rfam family: Bacterial small subunit ribosomal RNA
Source: RNAcentral
GAUGAACGCUGGCGGCGUGCCUAACACAUGCAAGUCGAGCGAACAGACGAGGAGCUUGCUCCUCUCACGUUUGCGGCGGACGGGUGAGUAACAUGUGGAUACCCUACCUAUAAGACUGGGAUAACUACGGGAAUCCGGCGCUUAUACCGGAUAAUAUAUUGAACCGCAUGGUUCAAUAGUGAAAGUCGGUGUUGCUGUCACUUAUAGAUGGAUCCGCGCCGCAUUAGCUAGUUGGUAAGGUAACGGCUUACCAAGGCAACGAUGCGUAGCCGACCUGAGAGGGGGGUAGGCGACACGUGAGCUUAAACACGGACCAGACUCCUACGGGAGGCAGCAGUAGGGAAUGUUCGGCAGUGGGCGGAAACAUGGCGGAGCAACGCCGAGUGAGUGAUAGCAGUCCUCGGAUCGUAAAGCUCUGUUAGUGGGGAAGAACAGAUGUGUAAGUAACUGUACACGGCUUGACGGUACCUGAUAAGAAAGCAACGGCUAACUACGUG